UCCCCCGCAACCGGGACGCGACGGGACGGGACGGGGGGAAAGACCCGAGUCACGGCCUGGAGCCCGUGAGGGCAGGGAGGGGGAAGUACCUCCCGUCUCGGGCAGGGUACCUCGCGCUCCGUCAGGGACGGGCUCCAAUGGCAGAUGCCUUCCUCGUUUCAGCCCACUUGGAAUGCAGAGGUCUAUGUAAAUAUACCCCCUGACUGCAGCUGCUGUGGAAAAAGAAGAAAUUAUAAGGAAGGAAAGAAGGGGAGAUGAUGUCAAGCUUUGACAAGAUGAAAAUCAUUCUGGAGCUUUCAAUGACUGCCCAUUACAUUUCUAAGUAUUAAAAAUAUGCUGGAAAAAGAAAAAUUUAAAUGUAAAUUUGGACCGUUCAGAAGCAUUCUACUACUAUUUUACUAGGAUUCAGGAAGGCACUUGAAAACAUGUCUGCAGGAAAAUCGACUGUACCAAAUGUCUUUAGAUAGGAACAUUUAAAAGAAGAAAAUGCAUGAGAAAAGAAAGAGAGGCAAAGACUUGUUGAGAUUUUUCAGGCUCCAGUGUCAUGGCAGUUUUGAAGAUACAGAUCAACAGAUCAAUAACCUUAAAUGUGAUAAAAAUUGCCCUAACCAAUCUAUUUGUUCUGGGAUUCCUGCCUACAAAUGAACAUAGUGUAAUUUCAUAUCAUCCCUUUUGUAAUGAAGAAAAAGAUCUUCUGGAAAGACCCUCAAAGCAAGCAUAAAAUUUGGCUUAAAACAUACAGAGGAAAUAAAAAAUACACAUGAACCCAGUUGCACGAUGGCUGGAGACUUGCUCUUUCACAAUUCUAAUUCUCAUCAUUCAGUACUAAUGCUCAUCUUGCUUUGUACUCCUGGGUGACUCAGAAGGAUGCAGACUGUGGUUUUGUGAAGUGCACUAACUUCAGCACUACCAUAAAGAACCCCCUGUUCUCUCACCUGUUACCAGUUUUGUUCUAUACAGACUUGCUGAACAGACACAUCUCAUAGUACAGCAGAGACCAGCCCAGGUACUAUGCACAGGAAACUGCUGGGGGAUGAGCUUCACUGGCUCACAGAGGUUCACUGCACCCUGCUCUCAUCAGCAGCAAAUCAUAAGAUCAGACACUUGCUCAAGAAAACACUAAGUCCUCAAAACACUGCUUGUCAAGUUGGAUCUCUAACCCAGGCUAACUUUCUUCAGUGUGAAAGUAACCAGAGCUAAACUGGUCUUAAACAGAUUCCUCUAAAAUAGCCAAAGCAGUUUCUUUUUGUUGACUUCUAAUCAUAAUUUCUCUGUACCUAUUUCUAGUAGUUCAGCCACAAUAGCUCAGUCCAGGCAAAACUGAACUGAUAUGAAACACUAGCAUAUAUAUGUCUUCAAGGAACGUUGUAAUUUUGCAAAGCCACUGCACUUGACUGAGAGAUAACAGUAAAAAACCAAAAAGAUAAUAAAUUCUAAACUUUUUGCAAAUGACUUUUGAAACAUCUAUUUCACGCCAUCAAGUGGCAUAACCAGGCAGUGCUAUUGUAAGAGUCAACAUUUCUAGAAAUUGCUUUCCAUGCUAAAAUUAAGAGUCACUCCAGCACACUCUCUUUAAAGGCAGCGGGUAAAGGGACAAUUAAAAAGGAGGUUUCAGCUUAAGAACACAUUAAAUUAUGAGUGUUUCAAAGAAAACUAUAAAAUAAGGCUAUUCACUGUAAGCCUUGAAUUUUGUGGGGCUUGUUAUCAAAUCUAACAUUAUCCAAAUUUUGUGAUGUACAUUCUGCAAUCUCAUCUUAAAGCUCAACAAAGCUCCUCUUAGCUAUUGCCUUUAAACAGUGUCACGUUUGAAAAAAGGAAGGAGGUGGAAAAAGCAAAAGAAGUGGAGCAAGCAGACAAAUGCUUUCAAACUUUACAGCAUUCACAAGAACAGCAAUUCUAGGACAACCUCAGUUACUCAAAAGAAACAAGAUUAAAUCCCUUGAGUGAGGGAAAAUUCACCUUCACUUUAAAAUAAAAAAUCCAACAUCCUCCAAAAAAUCCCUCUCUAGAUUCCAAUCAGAGUAAUUUCCUCCCACCAUGGCACUAACCUUUUGAAAGUUAUAUCAAGGUUUUUCUCUGAGUUCUUUGCCUCAUGGCUGUUGUUUAGCUACAGCCCACAGCUGCUAACAGUAUGUUUGGUUAGGUGGGAACCACAACCUAAGCCAGUGUCUAUGAGAGCUACCAAACUAUAAAGACCAUCAGCAAACUGCUGCUGAUCACUGCAUCAUAAAAACAGUGGGCAGUGCUUGGCAGGACGCAAGAGCUACAGCAGGGGAAGAAUGAAGAGAAGCAGCAUUGAAAAAGCUGAUCCACAACAACACGAUUAUGAAAGGAAUGAAACAGAAGUGCAGGUGGCCAGGAUGCCUAUUCACAUUGUUUUCCAUAUUUCUAUACUUUUACCUAGAAGUGUGAAGAGAUUUUUUUCAUAUCCUGAAAUUUACAUUCAAAAUUUGCAUUUGUGGUGGGAAAUAAAACAAGAAAAAGCCCAACCAAAAGAAAAGCCUCCCAAACCCCCCACCCUAAACACCCCAACAACUAGACCAUGUAACAGUCUUCACAGAAAUCCUAAUAAUUUGCCCUUUGAUGUCAAUGUUCUGUAAUAAAUACCCCUAUUAAAUACUCCAACUUUCAUUCUGGUCACUUUCUCUUGCUUUUCUUUCUUGCAAAAAAUGCACACAGCAGUCAGUUAACUCUAAGACAAAAUUUCAGUACUACUCUGUAUUUAAUAAAACACAAUGGACUACAUCAGCUAAACCAAUUUUCCAGUGAUUUCUAAUUUAAACUCACCUUUCUGAUUUGAAUACUUAAAACUUGCAUGCCAAAACGGUCUGCAAACCCUUGAAGGAAAGUGUUAUCCUACAUACACUGCCCCAGCUUCAGAGCAUUUGAGGAAAGUAAGAAAUAAAAACAGGACCAAAAUAAAUUUCUUCCAACAAUUUGUUGAAAGUGGUUUCAAAAGAAGUAAUUUGCUCAUCCUGCUGAGAAGAUUUACCAAGUCACUUCUACUGCACAGAAGACUGAGUUACUUUAUGGGUGAGAGCUGACAAACAAAAAGAGCUUUACUCAUCCAUAGCUGCAACUCUUGUCUGACUUGACAGAUCAAACUGAAUUGCUUUGUCAAUACACAGCUCCUACUCUCAGAAUUUGUUGAAACUAUUUUAGCUUGCAAAACACUGAUUUCUGUGUACAUAUUAACAAAAAAAAACCAGCUUUUUUUAUUAAAAGCUAUGUUUCAUUAUAUAGCUAAAACAAUUACUGAA
This is a long non-coding RNA of Motacilla alba alba, 3260 nucleotides long. RefSeq lists it as uncharacterized. Lineage: Eukaryota; Metazoa; Chordata; Aves; Passeriformes; Motacillidae. The record is from RefSeq and is a predicted model, not a curated record. The transcript has 4 exons.